RNAcentral lists this ribosomal RNA (523 nucleotides) under uncultured bacterium. RNAcentral describes it as "bacterial SSU rRNA". It matches the Rfam family "Bacterial small subunit ribosomal RNA", at positions 8 to 526 of the family's 1533-position model. The record is from RNAcentral.
AGAGUUUGAUCCUGGCUCAGGAUGAACGCUAGCGGCAGGCUUAAUACAUGCAAGUCGAGGGGCAGCACGGGUAGCAAUACCUGGUGGCGACCGGCAAACGGGUGCGGAACACGUACGCAACUUUCCUUCAACUGAGGAAUAGCCCAGGGAAACUUGGAUUAAUACCUCGUAACAUUAUGAAGUGGCAUCACUUUAUAAUUAUAGCUCAGGCGGUUGAAGAUGGGCGUGCGCCUGAUUAGGUAGUUGGCGGGGUAACGGCCCACCAAGCCUACGAUCAGUAACUGGUGUGAGAGCACGACCAGUCACACGGGCACUGAGACACGGGCCCGACUCCUACGGGAGGCAGCAGUAAGGAAUAUUGGGCAAUGGACGCAAGUCUGACCCAGCCAUGCCGCGUGGAGGAUGAAGGUCCUCUGGAUUGUAAACUUCUUUUAUCUGGGAAGAAAUCCAUAUUUUCUAAUGUGGUUGACGGUACCAGAUGAAUAAGCACCGGCUAACUCCGUGCCAGCAGCCGCGGUAAUUC